Molecule: ribosomal RNA, 131 nt
Filed under: uncultured bacterium
Lineage: Bacteria
Description: partial 16S ribosomal RNA
Rfam family: Bacterial small subunit ribosomal RNA
Source: RNAcentral
UAGGGACUCUACGGGAGGCAGCAGUGGGGAAUUUUGGACAAUGGGCGCAAGCCUGAUCCAGCAAUGCCGCGUGAGUGAUAAAGGCUUCGGGUUGUAAAGCUCUUUUGUCAGGAAGAAACGCUCAGCUAAUA